Molecule: ribosomal RNA, 189 nt
Filed under: uncultured bacterium
Lineage: Bacteria
Description: partial 16S ribosomal RNA
Rfam family: Bacterial small subunit ribosomal RNA
Source: RNAcentral
UACGGGAGGCGACAGUAAGGAAUAUUGGUCAAUGGGCGGGAGCCUGAACCAGCCAUGCCGCGUGGCAGGGGGACUGCCCUACGGGUUGUAAACUGCUUUUGCGCGGGAACAAACCCCACCACGUGUGGUGGGCUGAGCGUACCGCGAGAAUAAGCACCGGCUAACUCCGUGCCAGCAGCCGCGGUAAUA